CCUACGGGAGGCAGCAGUGAGGAAUAUUGGUCAAUGGGCGGAAGCCUGAACCAGCCAAGUAGCGUGCAGGAUGACGGCCCUACGGGUUGUAAACUGCUUUUAUACGGGAAUAACGCGCCUUUCGUGUAGGGCUUUGCAUGUAUCGUAUGAAUAAGGACCGGCUAAUUCCGUGCCAGAAGCCGCGGUAAUACGGAAGGUCCGGGCGUUAUCCGGAUUUAUUGGGUUUAAAGGGAGCGUAGGCCGCAUGUCAAGCGUGCGGUGAAAUGUCCCGGCUCAACCCGGGCCUUGCAGCGCGAACUGGCGUGCUUGAGUGCACGGAGGGCAGGCGGAAUUCGUCGUGUAGCGGUGAAAUGCUUAGAUAUGACGAAGAACCCCGAUUGCGAAGGCAGGUGGCUGCAGUGGAACUGACGCUGAGGCUCGAAAGCGCGGGUAUCGAACAGGAUUAGAUACCCUAGUAGUC
This 460-nucleotide ribosomal RNA is filed under the name uncultured bacterium. RNAcentral's name for it is "partial 16S ribosomal RNA". It matches the Rfam family "Bacterial small subunit ribosomal RNA", at positions 338 to 795 of the family's 1533-position model. The record is from RNAcentral.